UACAGAGGGUGCGAGCGUUGUCCGGAAUCACUGGGCGUAAAGGGCGCGUAGGUGGCGACCCAAGUCAAUGGUGAAAGCUCGCCGCUUAACGGCGAGUCGGCCACUGAUACUGGGUUGCUCGAGUACUGUAGAGGCUAAUGGAAUUCCGGGUGUAGCGGUGGAAUGCGUAGAGAUCCGGAAGAACACCGGUGGCGAAGGCGGUUAGCUGGGCAGUUGCUGACACUGAGGCGCGACAGCGUGGGGAGCAAACAGG
RNAcentral lists this ribosomal RNA (253 nucleotides) under uncultured bacterium. Its description in RNAcentral is "partial 16S ribosomal RNA". It matches the Rfam family "Bacterial small subunit ribosomal RNA", at positions 524 to 776 of the family's 1533-position model. The record is from RNAcentral.